RNAcentral lists this transfer-messenger RNA (357 nucleotides) under Clostridiales bacterium. It matches the Rfam family "transfer-messenger RNA". From Rfam's summary of the family: Bacterial tmRNA, also known as 10Sa RNA or SsrA, is named for its dual tRNA and mRNA-like properties. Its role is to liberate the mRNA from a stalled ribosome. RNAcentral also lists the same sequence under 2 other names. Lineage: Bacteria; Bacillati; Bacillota; Clostridia; Eubacteriales. The record is from RNAcentral.
GGGCAUGACUUGGUUUCGACAUUUAUCUGGAGCAAAAGCAAAAGCAUAACGAAUUAGCCACGUUACGGUUUAAAAUUAAAUUUAACUGCAGAUAGUAAAUCUGAAUUAGCAUUAGCUGCGUAAAUCGCAUAAUGCAUGUUCGCUUUGGUUUCGCUAUUGACCAAAAACGAGCAUUAAUCAAAUAGCGGAGCAAGUAUUGUGAGCAUGUGAGCAUACUUGUGACUAUAAUCGCAUGCGACUUGUUUGAUUUUUUGUUUAUGGGUUGCAAACAAAGUCUAUUUCAAAAAAUAAACUAAUUAUGUAGAAAGGUUUUUGUAGGAUAUAUGGACGCGGGUUCAAUUCCCGCCAUGUCCACCA